CCUACGGGUGGCUGCAGUGGGGAAUAUUGGACAAUGGGCGAAAGCCUGAUCCAGCCAUGCCGCGUGUGUGAAGAAGGCCUUCGGGUUGUAAAGCACUUUCAGUGGGGAAGAAAGCCUUGGGGCUAAUACCCUCGAGGAAGGACAUCACCCACAGAAGAAGCACCGGCUAACUCCGUGCCAGCAGCCGCGGUAAUACGGAGGGUGCGAGCGUUAAUCGGAAUUACUGGGCGUAAAGCGCGCGUAGGCGGUCUGAUAAGCCGGUUGUGAAAGCCCCGGGCUCAACCUGGGAACGGCAUCCGGAACUGUCAGGCUAGAGUGCAGGAGAGGAAGGUAGAAUUCCCGGUGUAGCGGUGAAAUGCGUAGAGAUCGGGAGGAAUACCAGUGGCGAAGGCGGCCUUCUGGACUGACACUGGCGCUGAGGUGCGAAAGCGUGGGUAGCAAACAGGAUUAGAUACCCUGGUAGUC
Molecule: ribosomal RNA, 465 nt
Filed under: Vreelandella stevensii
Lineage: Bacteria; Pseudomonadati; Pseudomonadota; Gammaproteobacteria; Oceanospirillales; Halomonadaceae
Description: partial 16S ribosomal RNA
Rfam family: Bacterial small subunit ribosomal RNA
Source: RNAcentral